RNAcentral lists this ribosomal RNA (206 nucleotides) under uncultured bacterium. RNAcentral's name for it is "partial 16S ribosomal RNA". It matches the Rfam family "Bacterial small subunit ribosomal RNA", at positions 568 to 774 of the family's 1533-position model. The record is from RNAcentral.
CGUCUAGGCGGCCUUUUAAGUCUGAUGUGAAAAUGCGGGGCUCAACUCCGUAUUGCGUUGGAGACUGGAAGGCUAGAGUAUCAGAGAGGUGGGCGGAACUACAAGUGUAGAGGUGAAAUUCGUAGAUAUUUGUAGGAAUGCCGAUUGGGAAGCCAGCUCACUGGAUGAAUACUGACGCUGAAGCGCGAAAGCGUGGGGAGCAAACG